AGGCACAAGAUCAGGAACAAGAAUAUGACAGUAAAGGGAAAAGAGAGAGAUCUACAGACGUUAUGCAUAGAGAGAGAGAGAGAGAGAGAGAGAGAGGGAGAGAGAAGAGGAAAAAAAGAAGAAAGAAGAAGAAAAAGGCACAGUGACUUGGCAUGUGCGGUAGAAAAGGUGACUCCGCGCGCAGCGGGUAGCGGAUUUGUUCAAAUCUACGUUGAGUAUCAUGCCGUGAAUGCCAAAAAAAAAAGAAAAAGGGAACCCAAAUAAGAUGAGUCUGACACUGCAAAGAUUUUCCUGAUUUCAUUUCUGUUUGAAAUUCUGCAUGAUACGAGGAAGUGAUUUUGUGGAAUGCAUUGAGGGUACCCCUACUUGGGCAGAAAUCAUUUGGCUUCUUCAAGUCAUCCAAAAAUUUGUUUUCAUUAUUGGUCAUGAUGAAACGCAUAAUGAUGACCACCCUUGUUCAGUGGAGGACUAGCUUAAUCCUGUUUGUGCUUUAGCACUCAGGGUAGAGUUAGUUAUUGCCUAGCUCUGGUGAUGCAACAGUGUUAGGAUCUAAAAUCAGCUAAGAAGGGGGCAACUUGACUGAGGUCUUAUUGCUAGGAGGCCCAAAGUGACACCCAUUAUGGUUUUCACUCCUCUUUAAGUAGGCACUCAUACUUCAGAGACACGAAUACGUGUUUUAAUUGCGGGGAUCUAAGGCAUUAUACUAGAGAUUAUCCUAAUCCCCACCGUCGUUAGGCUACAUGGAGAUGUGGGAACCAGUUGGUUGAGCUAGUUGCUGGGGUUACACCUGUAGUCAUGGAAGGUACACUUUUUAUUUCUAACUAUUUUGCAUGUGUCAUCACUAAUUUGGGUGUUAUGUACUCUUUCGUUUUAAUUAAUUUUGUUGAAAAGAUAAGUAUUAAUCUUGUACCCUAGGAAAGAUAGUAGUGCCAAGAACACCAGCUAAGAAUUUAGUUGCGUCUAGGUGAUGUUUAAAUCUUGUAAGAAUAAGAUAAUAGGUAAAAACUUACUAGUUGAUCUUCUACUCUUUGGUUUUCAAGGGUUUCAGGUAAUCAUGAGUAUGGAUUGGCUGGCUGUCUAUCUUGUUACCCUUGAUUAUUUCCAAAAAACAAUAAUGGUUCAUUCUUCGCAAUAGAACAUCUUAUUCACAGUAAAUGAAUCAAUAUAAACAAUAAAUAAUAAAGAUAUCCUAUUUUGUAUUUCUCUUAUGUUAUAAUGUAACUAAUUAAAAGUUUUCCUAAAUAUAGUUUAACCUACUAAAUAAAGUUUUCUUUAACAAGAAGAGAAAUGAAUUUUAGAAUGGGUAUCUAUACUAGUUUUAGAUAAGUAUGUUAGUUGCGUCUAGGUGAUGUUUAAAUCUUGUAAGAAUAAGAUAAUAGGUAAAAACUUUCUAGUUGAUCUUCUACUCUUUGGUUUUCAAGGGUUUCAGGUAAUCAUGAGUA
Carica papaya (papaya) is the source of this 1442-nucleotide long non-coding RNA. RefSeq lists it as uncharacterized. The record is from RefSeq and is a predicted model, not a curated record. NCBI's taxonomy places the organism in Eukaryota, Viridiplantae, Streptophyta, Magnoliopsida, Brassicales, Caricaceae.